This 378-nucleotide long non-coding RNA is filed under the name Pan troglodytes (chimpanzee). Its description in RNAcentral is "lncRNA (ENSPTRG00000054600.1)". Lineage: Eukaryota; Metazoa; Chordata; Mammalia; Primates; Hominidae. The record is from RNAcentral.
UGGUAUGUUUUUGAUUUUAGAGCAUAGGAUCAUAAAAAUAUCCUGGUAAUGGUAAAACCUUUUUGCAUAAACAGUGGUUCCAUUCUGCCUGUACAGAGAGUGAAAGGAAACAGAGGUGUCUUGUUUGUGGAUACCUUAAGAAAGGAUGAAUGUGGAACCACAUGAAAGGCAAGAAUCAAAGUCAGCUGCUGUUGGUACAAUUUGGAGCUUGGCUGCAAUGCAGUUAUUUGGAUCCAGUCUUCAGUGGGAGCUGACUUUAUGAGCUCUCAUGCUGAUCAGUGCUCAUUUGCCAAAGUGUAACUCCAACUACUGAUAUGAAACAAAUUGAGUGAGUAACCACCAUCAAGUCAAAAUAUGCCAAUGCUCUGACAACCUCCA